Molecule: long non-coding RNA, 1136 nt
Filed under: Anser cygnoides (Swan goose)
Lineage: Eukaryota; Metazoa; Chordata; Aves; Anseriformes; Anatidae
Description: lncRNA (ENSACDG00005002525.1)
Source: RNAcentral
AUGGAGAGACCUGGGGGAGGAGGACAAGGUGGGCCACCCCUCCGGACACCCCAGGGCAGAGCAGCCCGAGGAGUGCCCACCACCGCCACGUGUCCCAUGCACAGCCCCAAGAGUGGGGCACUGCACACGUGUACGAGGCCCUGUAGGCACUGCAGGCCUCCUGCCCUGCCUUGGCACCCCCCGAGCAAACCCCUCUCUUCCCCGGCAGCUGCUGCUGGAGGGGAAGCGGUUAACACGGUGCCUUGCCCUUCCUGCCCGGGUGACUCAGAGCUGCAGCAAGAGGCGGCAGGACCGGCUGCGGAGCGCAGGGCUGGACGGACCUGCUGCACCGAGCAGAGCGCCGCACGGGCAGGCACACGCACGCACCGUGCACGCCAGCCCCGCGCCCGUCCGCUGGCGAGGAUCAAGCAGAAGCAAAGUUCGUGGCGAUACACCCCCGCACGCAGGGGGUUGCGACGGCGCGGAGAAGCCCUGCAGCCUCAGAGCUAUUUAUCCUUCCUGUCCCUGCUCCCUCGCCGCCUUGUUAUUAGGUGUCUGCUCUGGGGCUGGCAAAGUAAUCAGUGUUCCCUGUCUCGUGUCACCGAGCCGCGGCUGUCUGCGGGCUGCCCUCCUGUCACCUGCUCUCUCUCCAGCCUAAUGCGCCCAUCAGUCACCGUCCCCUGGGAGCCGGGAGGAAGGCAGCCAGGGCCCCCUCCUGCCGCGCUGCCAUGCUGGCACUGUGGCGGCAGCGUCCUCCUGGCAGCAAGCAGCGGGGCCUGCUCUGCAGACAGCAGCGCAGAGGUUGGAAACAAAGGGGCACUUCUGCAAGGCAGCGAGCACUCGGCCCAGGCAGGGGUGCAGAGCCCAUCGAGGAGGCUGCUGCAGGGAAAGGACCAUCUAUGCAGCUCGGCCAGGCAGGGCCAGCUCCUCCAAGUCCUGCCGGAGAAGAAUAAUGUCUUCUCUCCACCCAAGUCUCCCAUGUUCUUGGUGCUUGCUCUCCAGCACAUCGGUGCACCCAGAGGAGCAGCUGAGCUCGAGGAGAGGCUGAAGGCUGGCUGCCAACGGGGGAUGCUGAGCGCAGAGUCCUGGGGAGCGGGGCUGCUGCUCCUGGUGGCUCGGGGCUCGGCAGACUGAGGAGGGGAAGGAGCCCACGUGGG